UGCGGCGUGCUUAACACAUGCAAGUCGAACAGAAAGGCCCUGCUUUUGUGGGGUGCUCGAGUGGCGAACGGGUGAGUAACACGUGAGUAACCUGCCCUUGACUUUGGGAUAACUUCAGGAAACUGGGGCUAAUACCGGAUAGGAGCUCCUGCUGCAUGGUGGGGGUUGGAAAGUUUCGGCGGUUGGGGAUGGACUCGCGGCUUAUCAGCUUGUUGGUGGGGUAGUGGCUUACCAAGGCUUUGACGGGUAGCCGGCCUGAGAGGGUGACCGGCCACAUUGGGACUGAGAUACGGCCCAGACUCCUACGGGAGGCAGCAGUGGGGAAUAUUGCACAAUGGGCGGAAGCCUGAUGCAGCAACGCCGCGUGCGGGAUGACGGCCUUCGGGUUGUAAACCGCUUUCGCCUGUGACGAAGCGUGAGUGACGGUAAUGGGUAAAGAAGCACCGGCUAACUACGUGCCAGCAGCCGCGGUGAUACGUAGGGUGCGAGCGUUGUCCGGAUUUAUUGGGCGUAAAGGGCUCGUAGGUGGUUGAUCGCGUCGGAAGUGUAAUCUUGGGGCUUAACCCUGAGCGUGCUUUCGAUACGGGUUGACUUGAGGAAGGUAGGGGAGAAUGGAAUUCCUGGUGGAGCGGUGGAAUGCGCAGAUAUCAGGAGGAACACCAGUGGCGAAGGCGGUUCUCUGGGCCUUUCCUGACGCUGAGGAGCGAAAGCGUGGGGAGCGAACAGGCUUAGAUACCCUGGUAGUCCACGCUGUAAACGGUGGGUACUAGGUGUGGGGUCCAUUCCACGGGUUCCGUGCCGUAGCUAACGCUUUAAGUACCCCGCCUGGGGAGUACGGCCGCAAGGCUAAAACUCAAAGGAAUUGACGGGGCCCCGCACAAGCGGCGGAGCAUGCGGAUUAAUUCGAUGCAACGCGUAGAACCUUACCUGGGUUUGACAUGGAUCGGGAGUGCUCAGAGAUGGGUGUGCCUCUUUUGGGGUCGGUUCACAGGUGGUGCAUGGCUGUCGUCAGCUCGUGUCGUGAGAUGUUGGGUUAAGUCCCGCAACGAGCGCAACCCUUGUUCACUGUUGCCAGCACGUUAUGGUGGGGACUCAGUGGAGACCGCCGGGGUCAACUCGGAGGAAGGUGGGGAUGACGUCAAGUCAUCAUGCCCCUUAUGUCCAGGGCUUCACGCAUGCUACAAUGGCUGGUACAGAGAGUGGCGAGCCUGUGAGGGUGAGCGAAUCUCGGAAAGCCGGUCUCAGUUCGGAUUGGGGUCUGCAACUCGACCUCAUGAAGUCGGAGUCGCUAGUAAUCGCGGAUCAGCAACGCUGCGGUGAAUACGUUCCCGGGGCUUGUACACACCGCCCGUCAAGUCAUGAAAGUUGGUAACACCCGAAGCCGGUGGCCUAACCGUUGUGGGGGAGCCGUCGAAGGUGGGACUGGUGAUUAGG
This 1434-nucleotide ribosomal RNA is filed under the name uncultured organism. Its description in RNAcentral is "partial small subunit ribosomal RNA". It matches the Rfam family "Bacterial small subunit ribosomal RNA". The record is from RNAcentral.